Molecule: long non-coding RNA, 974 nt
Filed under: Heterocephalus glaber (naked mole-rat)
Lineage: Eukaryota; Metazoa; Chordata; Mammalia; Rodentia; Bathyergidae
Description: lncRNA (ENSHGLG00000040554.1)
Source: RNAcentral
GUGCUUUUAUUUACUAUGCACUUAGACUAUGCACUUUUUCUGAAAUAUUUUUGUAACACUUUUUUGUAUUUUUGCCAUUUGAAAAGGUUGUGGUGUAGUUGGUCUGUACUUAAGUUGCAGAUUUAAACCUGCUGUUAGCUUUGUAAAUCAAAAUAUAGGUGUUUUUGUCCUGUUAUAUUGUUAAUUUCAUCUGCAGCUGGAGCUGGAAUCCCAUUGAUCUUCUAGCUACCAUUCAUUUUCUGCACAAUUCACAAAAGAAGAUUGAGAAAUUCAGUGAAUGCUGUUACUAAUCCUGUCGGGAGAUGAAUCUCAUUUCACCAAAAUUAAAUUAUGUUUUUCCACAAAAAUGAUGACACAAGUUGAAGACACAUCACUCUGAAAUUGGAAGACCUCACCACUUAAGGCUCCACGGUGGCUUUCUCAGCUGAACUCUAGGGUUUCAUCUCUGGAUCUGGUUCCUGAAACUUCUUUGAGCUGAAAAUCGGGAUUGUUUGCUGUUUCCUCCCACCCUAACUACCCCUCCACCGUUGACUGUCUCUGGCCAGACAGAGUUUCAGCCUGUAUCGAUAGCACAUCCAUCUGUGAUCUCAAAUGUGGAUCUCAAAAACAACAGCAGCAGCAAAGGGGCCUGGAAAAGCUGGCUACCACAUUCACCUCCCCUCCAAAACGAUGUCCUUUUCUAAAACCAGCUUGCUGAAAGCUCCCCGUGUCAGCUGUUUGAGCCCUGUACAAUCAGCUCUAUACAAUGCAGGGGAGGCAGCAGGCUCUACUGAUUCACUAAACCACUCUGGAAAUUUGUAUAAUGCUGGCUGGCCCCUAACUCACUGGCGUUAGCAUUUUAGCUCAGGCCAUUAACUUUGCUUUUGUAUCUGGAUCUACUUGGAUUCUUGCCUCUUUCCAACCACAUUAAUUAUCUCAGCUUUCAUCAGGACUCUCCUUGGCUUGUUCCCAUUUUUAAUAAAGGCAAAGCCACA